Molecule: ribosomal RNA, 253 nt
Filed under: uncultured bacterium
Lineage: Bacteria
Description: partial 16S ribosomal RNA
Rfam family: Bacterial small subunit ribosomal RNA
Source: RNAcentral
UACAGAGGUCUCAAGCGUUGUUCGGAUUCAUUGGGCGUAAAGGGUGCGUAGGUGGCGCCAUAAGUCAGGUGUGAAAUCUCGGGGCUCAACCCCGAAACUGCACUUGAUACUGUGGUGCUGGAGUACUGGAGAGGAGAUUGGAAUUUACGGUGUAGCAGUGAAAUGCGUAGAUAUCGUAAGGAAGACCAGUGGCGAAGGCGAAUCUCUGGACAGUUCCUGACACUGAGGCACGAAGGCCAGGGGAGCAAACGGG